RNAcentral lists this non-coding RNA (28 nucleotides) under Homo sapiens (human). The record is from RNAcentral. Lineage: Eukaryota; Metazoa; Chordata; Mammalia; Primates; Hominidae.
UGGUUAGGCUAAACUGGUGCAUACUGGC